This 419-nucleotide unclassified non-coding RNA is filed under the name Hevea brasiliensis (rubber tree). Lineage: Eukaryota; Viridiplantae; Streptophyta; Magnoliopsida; Malpighiales; Euphorbiaceae. The record is from RNAcentral.
GCAAAAAUCGCCACUCGCCACCACGAAAUUCAUUUCCUCUCCACCACACGCGACCGCCCACGUUUUCACCAUAAUCGCCUUCUCUCCUCCUCCUCUUAACAAUCACCAAUCCAAUAAUGUCUUCCAAACCCUCCUCCGCCACUGUUUGCUUACAAGAAAUGGACGAGCUCCAAAAGGUUUUCAACCAGUUCGACUCCAACAGCGACGGCAAGAUCUCCACUGAUGAGCUCGGCGGUGUUCUCAAAGCUACGGGUUCUACCUACACCACCGAAGAGCUCGAACGCGUCAUGGACGAUAUAGACACCGAUAAGGAUGGCUUCAUCAAUCUGGAGGAGUUCGCUGAGUUCUGCCGCUCCUCCUCCAACGCCACUGCUGAAUCUGAGUUGAAGGAAGCGUUCGAUCUGUAUGACCAGAAUAAG